AACGAACGCUGGCGGCAUGCCUAACACAUGCAAGUCGAACGAGACCUUCGGGUCUAGUGGCGCACGGGUGCGUAACGCGUGGGAACCUGCCCUUAGGUUCGGAAUAACUCCCCGAAAGGGGUGCUAAUACCGGAUAAUGUCUUCGGACCAAAGAUUUAUCGCCUUUGGAUGGGCCCGCGUUGGAUUAGCUAGUUGGUAGGGUAAAAGCCUACCAAGGCGACGAUCCAUAGCUGGUCUGAGAGGAUGAUCAGCCACACUGGGACUGAGACACGGCCCAGACUCCUCCGGGAGGCAGCAGUGGGGAAUUUUGGACACUGGGCGAAAGCCUGAUCCCGCAAUGCCGCGUGGGUGAUGAAGGCUUUAGGGUUGUAAAGCUUUUUUCCCCGGGAUGAUAAUGCCGGUACCGGGAGAAUAAGCCCCGGCUACCUCCGU
RNAcentral lists this ribosomal RNA (432 nucleotides) under uncultured bacterium. RNAcentral's name for it is "partial 16S ribosomal RNA". It matches the Rfam family "Bacterial small subunit ribosomal RNA", at positions 29 to 506 of the family's 1533-position model. The record is from RNAcentral.